UGAGCAAUCUGCCCUUCUCAUCGGAAUAAGCGUUGGAAACGACGUCUAAUGCCGAAUACGACCUCCUUUCGCAUGAUCGGAGGUGGAAAGCUCCGGCGGAGAAGGAUGAGCUCGCGGCCUGUCAGCUAGUUGGUGUGGGUAAUGGCCCACCAAGGCGACGACGGGUAGCCGGCCUGAGAGGGCGACCGGCCACACUGGGACUGAGACACGGCCCAGACUCCGUACGGGGGNAGCG
RNAcentral lists this ribosomal RNA (235 nucleotides) under uncultured bacterium. RNAcentral's name for it is "partial 16S ribosomal RNA". It matches the Rfam family "Bacterial small subunit ribosomal RNA", at positions 118 to 353 of the family's 1533-position model. The record is from RNAcentral.